This 796-nucleotide ribosomal RNA is filed under the name uncultured Methanosarcinaceae archaeon. Its description in RNAcentral is "bacterial SSU rRNA". It matches the Rfam family "Archaeal small subunit ribosomal RNA", at positions 85 to 879 of the family's 1478-position model. Lineage: Archaea; Methanobacteriati; Methanobacteriota; Methanomicrobia; Methanosarcinales; Methanosarcinaceae. The record is from RNAcentral.
ACUGCUCAGUAACACGUGGAUAACCUGCCCUUGGGUCCGGCAUAACCCCGGGAAACUGGGGAUAAUUCCGGAUAACGCACAUAUGCUGGAAUGCUUUAUGCGUAAAAUGGAUUCGUCUGCCCAAGGAUGGAUCUGCGGCCUAUCAGGUAGUAGUGGGUGUAAUGUACCUACUAGCCAACAACGGGUACGGGUUGUGAGAGCAAGAGCCCGGAGAUGGAUUCUGAGACAUGAAUCCAGGCCCUACGGGGCGCAGCAGGCGCGAAAACUUUACAAUGCGGGAAACCGUGAUAAGGGGACACCGAGUGCCAGCAUCAUAUGCUGGCUGUCCAGGUGUGUAAAAUACACCUGUCAGCAAGGGCCGGGCAAGACCGGUGCCAGCCGCCGCGGUAACACCGGCGGCCCGAGUGGUGAUCGUGAUUAUUGGGUCUAAAGGGUCCGUAGCCGGUUUGGUCAGUCCUCCGGGAAAUCUGACGGCUCAACCGUUAGGCUUUCGGGGGAUACUGCCAGGCUUGGAACCGGGAGAGGUAAGAGGUACUACAGGGGUAGGAGUGAAAUCUUGUAAUCCCUGUGAGACCACCUGUGGCGAAGGCGUCUUACCAGAACGGGUUCGACGGUGAGGGACGAAAGCUGGGGGCACGAACCGGAUUAGAUACCCGGGUAGUCCCAGCCGUAAACGAUGCUCGCUAGGUGUCAGGCAUGGCGCGACCGUGUCUGGUGCCGCAGGGAAGCCGUGAAGCGAGCCACCUGGGAAGUACGGCCGCAAGGCUGAAACUUAAAGGAAUUGGCGGGGGAGCAC